Molecule: ribosomal RNA, 464 nt
Filed under: uncultured bacterium
Lineage: Bacteria
Description: partial 16S ribosomal RNA
Rfam family: Bacterial small subunit ribosomal RNA
Source: RNAcentral
CUACGGGCUGCACCAGUGGGGAAUAUUGCACAAUGGGCGCAAGCCUGAUGCAGCCAUGCCGCGUGUAUGAAGAAGGCCUUCGGGUUGUAAAGUACUUUCAGCGGGGAGGAAGGGAGUAAAGUUAAUACCUUUGCUCAUUGACGUUACCCGCAGAAGAAGCACCGGCUAACUCCGUGCCAGCAGCCGCGGUAAUACGGAGAGUGCAAGCGUUAAUCGGAAUUACUGGGCGUAAAGCGCACGCAGGCGGUUUGUUAAGUCAGAUGUGAAAUCCCCGGGCUCAACCUGGGAACUGCAUCUGAUACUGGCAAGCUUGAGUCUCGGAGAGGGGGGUAGAAUUCCAGGUGUAGCGGUGAAAUGCGUAGAGAUCUGGAGGAAUACCGGUGGCGAAGGCGGCCCCCUGGACGAAGACUGACGCUCAGGUGCGAAAGCGUGGGGAGCAAACAGGAUUAGAUACCCUUGUAGUC